RNAcentral lists this ribosomal RNA (392 nucleotides) under uncultured bacterium. RNAcentral describes it as "partial 16S ribosomal RNA". It matches the Rfam family "Bacterial small subunit ribosomal RNA", at positions 523 to 918 of the family's 1533-position model. The record is from RNAcentral.
AUACGGAGGAUGCGAGCGUUAUCCGGAUUUAUUGGGUUUAAAGGGAGCGUAGGUGGGAUAUUAAGUCAGCUGUGAAAGUUUGGGGCUCAACCUUAAAAUUGCAGUUGAUACUGGUUUCCUUGAGUACGGUACAGGUGGGCGGAAUUGUGGUGUAGCGGUGAAAUGCUUAGAUAUCACGAAGAACUCCGAUCGCGAAGGCAGCUCACCGGGCCGGAACUGACACUGAUGCUCGAAAGUGCGGGUAUCAAACAGGAUUAGAUACCCUGGUAGUCCGCACAGUAAACGAUGAAUACUCGCUGUUUGCGAUACACUGUAAGCGGCCAAGCGAAAGCGUUAAGUAUUCCACCUGGGGAGUACGCCGGCAACGGUGAAACUCAAAGGAAUUGGCGGGG